This 497-nucleotide ribosomal RNA is filed under the name uncultured bacterium. RNAcentral describes it as "partial 16S ribosomal RNA". It matches the Rfam family "Bacterial small subunit ribosomal RNA", at positions 28 to 507 of the family's 1533-position model. The record is from RNAcentral.
GAUGAACGCUGGCGGCGUGCCUAAUACAUGCAAGUCGAGCGAACAGACGAGAAGCUUGCUCCUCUGACGUUAGCGGCGGGCGGGUGAGUAACGCGUGGAUAACCUACCUCUUAGACUGGGAUAACUACGGGAAACCGGAGCUAAUACCGGAUAAUAUAUUGAACCGCAUGGUUCAAUAGUGAAAGACGGCUUUGCUGUCACUUAUAGCUGGAUCCGCGUCGGAUUAGCUAGUUGGUAAGGUAACGGCUUACCAAGGCGACGAUGCGUAGCCGAUCUGAGAGGGUGAUCGGCCACACUGGAACUGAGACACGGUCCAGACUCCUACGGGAGGCAGCAGUAGGGAAUCUUCCGCAAUGGGCGCAAGCCUGACGCAGCAACGCCGCGUGAGUGAUGAAGGUCUUCGGAUCGUAAAACUCUGUUAUUAGGAAAGAACAAAAGCGUAAGUAACUAUGCACGUCUUGACGGUACCUAAUCAGAAAGCAACGGCUAACUACGUG